CCAACCCCCUGUUACCAAGCAACAAUCAAUAGGCAGUACUGCUACAGUUACUAAUAUUUCCACAGUAGCCUCAAAACCUAAUACCAAUCAGACUCAACCAACAAGAAACUUACCUAAACCAUGUUUUAGAUGUGGUGAAAAGUAUUUUCCGGGCAUCAAUGUAAGUCAAAGACAUUGAAUGCUUUGUGUAUGGAUGGGAAAGAUGAGGAAUUGGAUGAGGAGUGGCAUGAUGUGGGGGUUGAUAUAGAAGAAUUGGGAGAGGCUGGUUCCACCUUAUCUGUUCAUGCUUUAGAGGGUAGUCAUGGGGCUGACACUAUAAGAAUGUUAGGGAUUCACAAAAAUAGGCAAUUGGUGAUCCUCAUUGAUAGUGGUAGUACCACUAGUUUUAUGGACAAGAGGAUAGCACAGGAACUGAAAUUAGACUUAGUGCAGAUUCCAUUUAAAGCAGUUACUGUUGCUGAUGGAAGAAAAUUGGGUUGUAACCAUCUAUGUCAACAAUUUAAAUGGAAAAUGCAGCAUAAUGACUAUAUGUUUGACUUCAAAAUAUUGGAGUUAGGUGGAUUUGACAUGAUUUUGGGAGUUGAUUGGUUAAAAAAUCAUAAUCCUGUUCUUUUUUAUUUUGCUACAUCUUGUAUUACAAUUGCAAAGGAUGGCCAACGCAUUCAAUUGCAGGGAAUUGGUGAGGAAAAUUUGCAAUCUGGUUUGUGGCAUUCUGAUAAUUUGUUGAGCAAAGGAGGGGUGGAUUUUCAAACUCCUUUAUUCUGUGUUGUGAAUUCCAGUCUGUCAAUAGAUUCUUUGACUACUGCAACAGCUAUUUCUGUUCCAAAUGAGAGGCUGCAGGAUUUAAUUCAGAAGUACAAGGGUGUUUUUAUAGAACCUAAGGGGUUGCCUCCAUUUAGGAGUCACAAUCAUGCUAUUCCCUUACAAUCAAAUGCUCAGCCCAUCAAUAUUAGACCCUACAGGUAUCCUUAUUAUCAAAAGGCUGAAAUAGAAAAACUUGUAGCUGAUAUGAUAGAAUCUUCAAUAAUUCAGCCUAGCACUAGCCCAUAUUCCUCUCCAGUUCUUUUGGUGAAGAAAAAAGAUAGCACAUGGAGGUUUUGCAUUGAUUAUAGAAGGUUGAAUGAUCAAACAAUAAAAGAUAAGUUUCCCAUCCCUAUUAUUGAAGAUCUAUUGGAUGAAUUGAAUGGGGCUAAAUAUUUUUUCAAAAUUGAUUUGACAGCAGGCUAUCACCAAAUUAGGAU
Molecule: unclassified non-coding RNA, 1241 nt
Filed under: Hevea brasiliensis (rubber tree)
Lineage: Eukaryota; Viridiplantae; Streptophyta; Magnoliopsida; Malpighiales; Euphorbiaceae
Source: RNAcentral